This 384-nucleotide ribosomal RNA is filed under the name uncultured bacterium. Its description in RNAcentral is "bacterial SSU rRNA". It matches the Rfam family "Bacterial small subunit ribosomal RNA", at positions 29 to 440 of the family's 1533-position model. The record is from RNAcentral.
GCGAACGCUGGCGGCAGGCCUAACACAUGCAAGUCGAGCGGCCGUAGCAAUACGGCAGCGGCAGACGGGAGAGUAACACGUGGGAACGCGCCCUUCGGUUCGGAAUAACUCAGGGAAACUUGAGCUAAUACCGGAUACGCCCUAACGGGAAAGAUUUAUUGCCGAAGGAACGGCCGCGUCCGAUUAGCUAGUUGGUGAGGUAACGGCUCACCAAGGCGACGAUCGGUAGCUGGUCUGAGAGGANGACCAGCCUCAUUGGGACUGAGACACGGCCCAAACUCCUACGGGAGGCAGCAGUGGGGAAGUAUUGGACAAUGGGCGCAAGCCUGAUCCAGCCAUGCCGCGUGGAUGAUGAAGGCCCUAGGGUUGUAAAGUCCUUUUAAC